This 253-nucleotide ribosomal RNA is filed under the name uncultured bacterium. Its description in RNAcentral is "partial 16S ribosomal RNA". It matches the Rfam family "Bacterial small subunit ribosomal RNA", at positions 524 to 776 of the family's 1533-position model. The record is from RNAcentral.
UACGGAGGGUGCGAGCGUUGUCCGGAAUCAUUGGGCGUAAAGGGCGCGUAGGUGGCCCCUCAAGCGUGCGGUGAAAGUCAGGGGCUCAACCCCUGAUCGGCCGUGCGAACUGGGGAGCUUGAGCACUGUAGAGGCAGGCGGAAUUCCGGGUGUAGCGGUGAAAUGCGUAGAGAUGUGGAGGAACACCAGUGGCGAAGGCGACUCUUUGGCCUGUAACUGACGCUGAGGCGCGAAAGCGUGGGGAGCAAACAGG